RNAcentral lists this non-coding RNA (27 nucleotides) under Mus musculus (house mouse). The record is from RNAcentral. Lineage: Eukaryota; Metazoa; Chordata; Mammalia; Rodentia; Muridae.
UUUACAUUAUGCCAGGAUCUUUCACUA